UGCUCUUGGCAGAAGCAGCUGCGUUUGUUCCCAAACUGCUUUCUGAAACUCCCAGUUACUUUCUGGAUGCAUUUCUAAUUUCAGGCGGUAGCUGUGUUUCUGCUGCCAAUGCCCAUGUCACGAAUAACAAACAUGCAAUUUCCUCCCCUGUAGAAUUAUUCCACUCUGCUUAUCUGGAGGUUCAGUUCUGUUGUCUCCAUUUUAAUCACAUUUUCCAACAACACAUUACUUUGUGCAACAGACCAUUUUCCUUUGCGAAAGAUCAAAAUCAUUGCAUAUUCCAUUUCAUUUCUUGACCUAAAACUGACAGUUUUUGCAUUGCGCUGCUAAUUUAAUUUAAAGAAAAAGUACGUGGCAAAAUGUAUCAAUUGAUAUCUGAAACAUAUUACACCUCAGCUGCAUGCAUGAACACCGUAGGCGUUUAAAACAAUCAUAUGGAAAAUCAUAGCAUGAAAAACCUGUUUCAGAGCUUUAAAACCUUCUUGCCAUCGGUAAUAAUUAUAAAAGCCUCCUAAAGCAAGUACUUUUAGUAAUCUCUAUAGCGCAUAGUUAGAGUACGGUUAUACUACAGCACAGUUUCAGUUACACUUAAAAGAAGCCACAAUAGGUCACAGCUCUCCAAACACGACUCCAGCACGUUUUUGUACUGAAAAAUGCAGACAUGCAUGCACUCCGUAUUUCUUCCUAUGCACUCUCAGAUGACAGAAGGGAACACAGCGCAGGGAAUGUAAACAGUAUAAAGCAUGCAUCUUGCACACACGGACACAAAUGUAGUAACAACUGCCUUGACAGUGCCCAGAUGUUGCAAGGAGCAGUGGGGACAGCCAGGAAGCCCAUUCUCAUUGUGCUAAUGAGGGUAAUGAGAGCUGAGAAGUUAAAAGCCCUUGCAAAGCUGUGAAACUCCAACCCUAUUUAUUCCUUAUCAUUUCACUGAUACAUUUUACAUCCUAGCGGCAAAACGUUUCAUGUCAGUGACUAGCCGUGUCAGGAAAAGGCCUACCUCGUGUAUGGAGCCGGUCCCAGAUCCAGCAGCGCUUCCUCCCUUGGCUCAGAUAUCCAACCAGGCAUGUGCUGCAGAUGCUGGGUGCAAGGCACGUGCUGCGUCCCAACACGUGGCACUAUGGACUGCUCACCCAAACCAGUUCCUGAUGCACAUAGUGGAACCAAGCACCAGAAAAGUCUGGUCCGGCCAUACAUGUCAGAUACAAUCUAAACAACCAGCAACAUAGGGAGAGGUGGGUAAAGCAAACAGGAGAGAGUAGAUGGCCAUUCCUUGCUCCCUUUCAAUUUCCACAUUUUUAAGAACUCAAAAGAACUGGCAUUGUUCCAUCUGUGGCAAUGGCACAGGUACUUACAAGUCUUUGUCCCUGUGCAGCUGCUGUGCUCUGUAUCACUAACCCAAAAUGAUUAGGCUCUGCAUAAAUAGUUGAAAAACAGGCAAACAUUAACUUAAAGUUUUAAUUAACUAAAAUGUUUUUGUAAUUAUUGCAUUAUUUAAAAAAGGAAUGCCAUGAUCACUCAGCAAGGAUUUCAUUCUUUUUUAUAUUAGGCUAUUAUUAUUCAAUUAUUUAUUAUAAUAAACAAUUGUAAUGUUAGAAAUCCAUUAGAAGCCGGAGAUAUUUUUUCUUCAGACAGGUUCAGUAUCUAAAUACUUGAAAUAUAAAAGCUGGAGUUGAAAUCUGGAAAGGGGAAUUGGAAUCAAAGACCUUUAAACAUCCCUUCAAACUCCAGUGAUCCUACGAUUCCAGAAGAGAUGGCUGUAUUUAUACUCUAACAAUACUGCAGCUACUGAAAAUAAGCUGUGAAGAGCAAGCACACUUUCAGUUCAUAGAUAGCCCAUUUCAACAUUAAUUCACUGAAAUCAACUACAAUUAAAAUUAGAAUAAUGAAACAGCUCAAGUGCAGUGCAAACUGGCCGUAGUUAUGCAGAGACCGGCACACAGCAGCGAAUGCAACAGCCCGAGAGCUCUGGCUCAUGACCAGGUGCAGGCGUGACAGCGCCGGGAGCUGGAUGGGUGUUACACAGCCCGUGGGCUGCAGCCCACUGUUUGCUGUCGGACGCCAGAACCUGCUCUAUGCACGAGCUCAUUUAGAAGAUACAAACCACAUGUCUGCUCCAUUUGGCAGAGAAGCACCAGUGCUGGCAGACGGAGCCGGGAGCCGCUCUCUGGAUGCUGCCAGUGAGCGCCUGCAGGUGCAGACGGCUCCUUGUUGUGCGUGGGAAAUGGUCCAGCCACGGCUUUUCCAAGAAGGCCCCAUUAGAGAAGGCUGAGAAGCGCUGAUGCAGACAGCCUGCGGGGAGCCAGCCUGCCUUCCACCAGGAUACGCUCACCACGAUGUUAAAUCUGGCUCCCCUUGAGCUCACCGGGGCUGAUUUUAAAGAAAAUAGUUCUAGGUGCCAUUCAGAUUCAACAUGACCAACUCUCGAACAUUUAAUCAAAUGUAUUAACUGCUACAAAUGAUUACAGUGAAAAGUAAAGACAUUCUUUGAUUUCUACACAGACUUUUGACAUGACAUUGCUCAAGUUGCCGGUGAGGACUUGGCUAUCCAGCAUGCACUACAGAAUCCAAGCUUUGAAAUAGUUUUCUGCAGCUCUCUGUUUUCCAUACUUUUCCUUACUGAAUCCCCCCACAAAGACCACAGGCAGUCACUGACACACUUGAAACCUCUGUCCUGCCAAAGAGUCCCCACCGCAGCCUCAUCCCAUGGCUCCAGGAGCUCCAGGCUCUGCUGCCCAAGGGAAGCGCUCAGCCCCAAUGGAAGCUGCGAUGGAGCACAGGCAUCUGAAACACUGCAGGAGAGAGUAGCUGCAGCCUUUCAUGUUAGGGAAUUGGGUCAAAAAUCUUCCAGAAAAUCUAUUUCAAUAAUGAAAGCUGACUUUUCUCCUCCUUUUUUUUUUUUUUUUCUUUCCCUGAUUAUGGGAAAAGGUGGAUUAUAUAUUUAAUCUGACCAAUAAAAGCACAGAAAAGGGUACGUUUUUCUUAUCAAAAAUAAUUCCCUUUUUUAAUCAUCAUUUCCCACAGAAAAUGAAUGCUCAGUAUUCUGCCAGAUUAACAUAGCUGAAAUACAGCUGGUCCUGACAAUGGUAUGGACUUUUGGCUGUGGCAAUUAGCCAUGUUUUCCUCUACUAAUCAAAAAAAAAAAAAGAAGAAAGAAAGGAAAAGGAAAAUGCCAUUUGGUGGAACCUGGAGUGACUUUUGUUCUUUUCUGAACAAUAAAUAAAUAAGCAAAUAAUUUGAGCUGCACUAGAACGUAUUUCUUGGCCUAAAACAAAAUACUUCGUUUCUUCUUUGCUGUCAUUAUUGCUGCAUAAAAACGAUAAGAAGAACAUGAAAAUGAAAAAAAGCACUUUCAAAGAAAGAAUUAGGAUUUAAUUCUACAAAUGUCAAAAUAUUUUUUUGAUGGUUUACCCAGUACUAUUUGCACCACUCCAUUCAGCUCUGUCAAUAAUUUCAGUUCAUUCGAAACAGCAUUUUUUAGCGAACAAACUGUUCAGAAAAAGGAAGAGUAAGAGAAACUGUCUGAUUAGGUGGAGAAAGAGAGGGAUGGGAGCUGCCUUAUUCUGCAGGCUCCAGAAGCCCGUCUCCACACCUGCAAAAGCUUGGAAAUUUCAUCAAGAAAACCUGCGGUGCUUCCUCUGUCCCUCUUCUUCCAUACUAUAAAACAAACUUUUGGAUGCCCAGAUAAGCUCAGAGCACGCAAAGGAAGAAAUAAACCUGCAAAAGAGUAAAGGAUUAAUGUGAAAGAAAGCAAGGUGUAGCCAGCUAAACCCUCCGGCUGCAGUCAAACACUGCAUUUUCAAAAUCAGUGGCAUUUGAUGGAGAGAAAAAAAAAUACUUACAUCAACUAGCUCAUGCCAUCUCCCUGUUUAAACGGUUGUUAAAAUACACAUUUAAAAUAAAAAUGAAUAUACAUAAGUCAUAAUGCAAGGAAAAUAUGGAUGCACAUAACGAUAACAUCACCCCUUCUUUCUGUACUGCCAUUGGAUUCAGAAUAAAGUCAUAACAACACUGCAAUGACCAUAGCAAAAUUCCUGCCCAGUGAAGAGAAGCGUUAGAAAAUGUGCAGCUUCCCUGACAAACGUUAUUUAAAAGUCAUUCUAAAUUUCUCAUAACUUCAGCAUAAAUAUGACUCAAAAUGACUUAAAGGACUUGAUCUUGAUUCCGCUGCUGUUUACAAAAUGUAAAUCCAUCGGAGCUGUCAGAAUUAUGCUCGUUUAAAGCUGGAGGAAUUGAGGAAGAAUUUGGCUUUUUGAUUCAAUCUUUAAUGUGCAGUUCACCCCUCGCAUAUACAAGGCACACUGACUCGCAGGCAGAAGAUAAACAUGUAAUAAAUCAGCUUACUUUUUUUUCAGCUCUUACUCACAGUGGAAUCCCCAAAAUUCAUUUUAUUUUAUCUUUUUCCCACUCUUCAGCUUUUUCUCUUUCAUUUUCCUUCCUCCUCUUCAAUCACCAAAGGUUUGCUUGUCUCAUUUUCUAUUUUACAUCACUCCGCUUUGUUCUCUACAAUGGAAAGACAGACAAGCAGAAAGAAAGGCGGACAGACAGACAGAUAGCACAGAGAGAUCCAGCCAGUCCGAGGCAAUAACUCCGGACACCCACAUUCUGGAGGAGCCGUUGCUCUCUCAAAAACUUUUUAUCUUUAUAAAGGGAAGGGAAUCAAGACUCAUUUGCAUAAGGGUUCAUUCCAUCUCUUCAGCUCACAUGUUUAUAGCUCUGGAAAGUCCCUUUCUGAUUCCCUGCUUGAUAAGGAGCCAGGAAGGUAAGCAGCAGCAGGGAGAGGUGAGAACUGUUUUGCUGACCUUGCAAGCAGGGCUUAAGUGCAGUACUCCAUUCUCCACGCUCGGAGGACCCAGCUGAAAGAUUUGGGUGCUCUUUAUCCCUUGGACUUCAAGACUCGGACUGUGCUUGUAGAGCUAAAGAUUCAAGUUGGAGAAACCCCCACUCUUGCACAGGAGGAAGCUCUGGUCAGGCGCUCAAUACUUCAGCUUCCUGUCUGUACACUCCGCGGUCUAAUCUGGGGAAAUCCUGAAAACAUUAUCAGAUGCCUGAUAAGCUCCUUAGCUUUCAAGUACAUAGUGAUUCAGUUUCGGUCAAAACCUCAUUUGAAUACCGUUUUAAAAUCUAAAUAAAAAGUGAGACCCUAACAGAGAAGAGAUUAGACUUGUAGUCUAACAUCACUGGUAUCCAAAAUAACGCGAGUGGCAUUAAAAACUGGCAUAAACAAACCUACUCUUCCAUACCUGCAUCAAG
This is a long non-coding RNA of Gallus gallus (chicken), 5253 nucleotides long. The record is from Ensembl. Lineage: Eukaryota; Metazoa; Chordata; Aves; Galliformes; Phasianidae.